UACGAAGGGGGCUAGCGUUGCUCGGAAUGACUGGGCGUAAAGGGCGCGUAGGCGGAUGGUACAGUCAGAUGUGAAAUUCCCGGGCUUAACCUGGGGGCUGCAUUUGAUACGUGUUGUCUAGAGUGAGGAAGAGGGUCGUGGAAUUCCCAGUGUAGAGGUGAAAUUCGUAGAUAUUGGGAAGAACACCGGUGGCGAAGGCGGCGACCUGGUCCUUUACUGACGCUGAGGCGCGAAAGCGUGGGGAGCAAACGGG
Molecule: ribosomal RNA, 253 nt
Filed under: uncultured bacterium
Lineage: Bacteria
Description: partial 16S ribosomal RNA
Rfam family: Bacterial small subunit ribosomal RNA
Source: RNAcentral